UCGGGAAUAUUGCGCAAUGGAGGAAACUCUGACGCAGUGACGCCGCGUGCAGGAAGAAGGUUUUCGGAUUGUAAACUGCUUUAGACAGGGAAGAAAAAAUGACGGUACCUGUAGAAUAAGCUCCGGCUAACUACGUGCC
Molecule: ribosomal RNA, 139 nt
Filed under: uncultured bacterium
Lineage: Bacteria
Description: partial 16S ribosomal RNA
Rfam family: Bacterial small subunit ribosomal RNA
Source: RNAcentral